UUGAAUUCUUUCGCUCUUUGGAUUAAAUGCUCUGUGAGUUCCAAGACACAGAAACUUCCUUUGAAUCAUAGGAUGACAAGAUAUUUUAUGUUGGAAAGAGCUGCUGGAGGUCAUUUUGUCAAACCACCUAUUCAAAGAGGCUUACCUUCAGCAUUAGGUAGUGAAAAUUCAUAACUUGUUACUUCUGCCUACUCUUCUUCAGAUAUGGACCUCUAAGGAAAGUUUGUUCCAUCUUCUCUGCAAUCCCCCUGCAGGGCAUGGUCUAUGGACAUUCAAGUGUCAACAUCUUCCAUUUGACACUGACAGACCCUGUUGCUGAAAGGUAAGUACUCGUAUGUCUCCUCCAGUGUAUCCCACAUAAGCACUUAGUGUUUGUUCCAUUGAGUAAUUUUGAACAUUAUUGUUUUUCUGAUGUUGUUCUGCACUCUGCUUUGCAAUUGAACAUGUGAUUGUAUUUCCCUCUAUGACUCAGAAGUGGAAGCCAACAUGUCAGAGCAAUUUUCUGCUGUGUUUGCAGGCAUUUGUUAUGGCACAUCAGUUCAACGUGCCUUCCUCCCUCUGCCUGCACAUUGUGCAUCUGAGGCUCUGUGUACAUUUUCUUGGAGAGCUGCCAUGCUGCAGAGAUUUUGAAAUUGCAUAAUGGACUAUAUGGGCUGGCUUGGAGCUACAGCUGCAGAGACAUCUUCUAGCUUCCAGCAUCUUCCCUUAUUCUCAGAUAGAGUCAAUACACCUUUUCUGAUUCUCUCUCCAAGUCAGUCAGGAUAUACACACAUGCAUUUAACAACUUCUGAAAGUUUCCUUGUCAUAUUCAGGUGAGCUUAUAAGAAACAGUUUUUAAAAAGUAAAAUGUUUACCACAUGUAGAGCUAAUAGCACAU
Passer montanus (Eurasian tree sparrow) is the source of this 877-nucleotide long non-coding RNA. RefSeq lists it as uncharacterized. NCBI's taxonomy places the organism in Eukaryota, Metazoa, Chordata, Aves, Passeriformes, Passeridae. The transcript is spliced from 3 exons. The record is from RefSeq and is a predicted model, not a curated record.